GAUGAACGCUGGCGGCGUGCCUAAUACAUGCAAGUCGAGCGAACGGACGAGAAGCUUGCUUCUCUGAUGUUAGCGGCGGACGGGUGAGUAACACGUGGAUAACCUACCUAUAAGACUGGGAUAACUUCGGGAAACCGGAGCUAAUACCGGAUGAUAUUUUGAACCGCAUGGUUCAAAAGUGAAAGACGGUCUUGCUGUCACUUAUAGAUGGAUCCGCGCUGCAUUAGCUAGUUGGUAAGGUAACGGCUUACCAAGGCAACGAUGCAUAGCCGACCUGAGAGGGUGUCCGCCCCCACAGGACCGGAGACACGCCGCAGCGCCUACGGGGGGACACAGGAGGGGAAUCUCCUGAAUUGGGGGAAGGCUUGCGGGGCAACGGCGCCGGGGGUGAUAUGGGCCUCGGGUGGUUAAACUCUGUUAUUAGGGAAGAACAUAUGUGUAAGUAACUGUGCACAUCUUGACGGUACCUAAUCAGAAAGCCACGGCUAACUACGUG
This 496-nucleotide ribosomal RNA is filed under the name uncultured bacterium. RNAcentral's name for it is "partial 16S ribosomal RNA". It matches the Rfam family "Bacterial small subunit ribosomal RNA", at positions 28 to 507 of the family's 1533-position model. The record is from RNAcentral.